Molecule: long non-coding RNA, 245 nt
Organism: Stylophora pistillata
Lineage: Eukaryota; Metazoa; Cnidaria; Anthozoa; Scleractinia; Pocilloporidae
Source: RefSeq, a predicted model, not a curated record
AGCGUGCUGGAAUUUUGACAAUGUUGGAUAAAGAAAGCCUAUUCGCAAGAGGAAGCUACCAGAAUUUCUUACAAAAAGUUAAGGGACAGCAUAAAGACAGCAAUUGUUUUUUCGAUCCAGAUUCCGAAAGUUCGUGUUUUGGAGUAUCGCACUACAAUGGAAACAUCGUUUACGAUGCCAGCUCUCUUUUGAACAUAAACAGAGACUCCAUCACUGAUGACAUUAUCUGUGUGUUCUCGAGACAG